Molecule: long non-coding RNA, 553 nt
Organism: Xenopus laevis (African clawed frog)
Lineage: Eukaryota; Metazoa; Chordata; Amphibia; Anura; Pipidae
Exons: 2
Source: RefSeq, a predicted model, not a curated record
UCUAUUUUUUGCCAGAGCUCCGGUUUUGCGCUCGCUUCUUCCACAGCAAUGGGCCUCGCAGCGCUGCCACCUACUCUACCUGUGCUCCUGGGCUGGCUAGUACUGAACUGCCUGGCAGAAGCUGCUCCCUGACUCUGCUGUGCUCCGGGCCCGGUGGUUGUUUGCAGGUAGGGACUAGUUCCCAUCCUCGGAAAGGACCUGACGUCACGGUCAUGUGAUCAUACCAUGUGACCGCUCCAUUGCGCAUUAUCCAUUAUUGAGCGGUAGAUUCAAAUAAGCAGAAGCGCUAAUGCAUUGUACCGGCAGGCAGCGAACAUUUCAAAGGACGUGCAGCUUAAUCUCUGGAACUGCCAACUUCUGAUCUGCUGUUGGAUUCCUCACAUCCUGACUCCUUUUGUCGCCAUCAUUUUGUGCAGUUUUCUAUUGUUUUGCCAGGAAUGGAAGUGGUACUCUUUAAAGAAAAACUUUGGUUUUAUUUAUUGUGUCUUAGAUUUGUUGUAUGAUCCUGCUUCAUGUUUUCAUUUAUGUUUUAAUAAAAUUAUAAAUAAAAUUA